RNAcentral lists this unclassified non-coding RNA (237 nucleotides) under uncultured fungus. RNAcentral's name for it is "sequence contains ITS1, 5.8S rRNA gene". The stretch from base 189 to 237 matches the Rfam family "5.8S ribosomal RNA", at positions 1 to 49 of the family's 154-position model. Lineage: Eukaryota; Fungi. The record is from RNAcentral.
UUUCCGUAGGUGAACCUGCGGAAGGAUCAUUAGUGAAUUAAAACCGCUUGGGUGUCUCUGCUUCGGCAAGCCCCUCGCACUUCACAUCCAUAACACCUGUGCACUGUAAGGCUUGAGGCUUCGGCCCCUCGCCUGACCUUUUAUAAACUAUUAUGCGUAACAAAUGUAGUCUUAUUAUAACCUAAUAAAACUUUCAACAACGGACCUCUUGGCUCUGGCAUCGAUGAAGAACGCAGC